RNAcentral lists this long non-coding RNA (2835 nucleotides) under Sus scrofa (pig). Its description in RNAcentral is "lncRNA (ENSSSCG00005002384.1)". The record is from RNAcentral. Lineage: Eukaryota; Metazoa; Chordata; Mammalia; Artiodactyla; Suidae.
AAGCAUUUUCUUGCCUCAAUUAUCUGCGAGCUGAGUGAAGUUUAUUUUUGCUUCAUCGAGUGGCAAAGAAUCAUUAAAAAAAGUCUCUAAUGUGGAGUUCCUGUUGUGGCACAUCAGAAAUGAAUCCAACUAGGAAUCAUGAGGUUUCUGGUUCAAUCCCUGGCCUCGCUCAGUGGGUUAAGGAUCUGGCAUUGUCAUGAGCUGUGGUGUGGGUCGCAAAUGUGGCUCAGAUCCUGUGUUGCUGUAGCUGUGGUGUAGGCCCGUGGCUGUAGCUCCGAUUCGACCCCUAGCCUGGGAACCUCCAUGCGCCAUGCGUGCAGCCCUAAAAAGCAAGAAAAAAAAAUAAUAAAAAUCUCUAAUAUGUAAACUAUUAUAUCUGGAAAAGAUGGGCAAUGCGAUCCUACUGCACAACACAGGGAAAUAUGUGUGAUUGGGUCACUUUGUUGUACAACAGAACUUGAUGAAACAUUGUAAAUCAACUAUAAUUUAAUAAUUAAUAAUAACAAUAAAAAAUCUCUGAUGGAGGAAAGGUUUAUACAAUUAUUUUUCUUCAAAUAAGCCUAAUUUACUUCUUAUUUUAUGUAGAGAUUGGUGAAUUUUCCCAGCACAUGGGAAGGAAAAUGAGUUGGAAAUGGAAAAAAAAAAUAAACUUUUUUUUCCUUCUUGGUUUCAGUUUCUACAGUUCUGUUGCAGUUUACCAAGUUCGAUGACUAUUUGGAAACAAUCUACAGCUGGUUUUUUGUUUUGUUUUGUUUUGUUUUAUUUUGCCUAAAGACAGAAAAGAAAACCAUCUCUUAUAUUAAAAGGAUAUUAAGUAGCAAAUGAGAAAAGGUUACUUUUGUCUCCUAGCGAGUCUUCCAGUCUUGGGUACUUUAUAGUCCUUCUAAGACUCAGGAGUUUGUGGUGGUAAAUGUGAAAAUGAAACUCAACCAACCAUCUCUGGUUCUUUCCAGGAAGAGUUUUCCACUGUGAAAAAUCCAGACUGAGUUUAGAGGGGGAAUGACUCUUUUGUCUCCCUAGAACAAUCUUCUUGGCUCUGAAUUCUGUUCUGGUGGCCUAUGUCACAGUACCUUCCGUUUAUAUGCAAUUGCUCACUCUGAGAAUAAACAGAGUCAGGAGGUCCCUAUGUGGGGUCGUCCCGGUAAGGCCCCCGGAGACACAAAUAUCACUUGUCUGAUAGCUCAGAGAGCUGGGGACUUCAUGCAGCUACGGUUAGGCAUGCAGAGAAGUCAGCGUCUCAGCAGCAAGAGCCUAAAUUCAGAAGCCUAUUUUCACUCCUAUUAUUUUUAAAAUGGAAAAUUCCAUUUUCAUGGGUAUGUACUUGUUUUUGAACGCAGACAACUUCCAGAAGAUUUUUGCACCAGGAGCUAAAAAUUUUAAUCAUUUGCUUUCAGCAGCCUAGAAAUUAAUUGGGGGUUAUUUUAAAUGGAAUUGAAAACUUGCCUUUAAAAAUUUAGUUCUCCUCUAGUUACAUAUAAGCCCAAGCUAUAAGGUGACAAUAAUAACAAAUUAUUGGAUAAUAUAAUAUUAAAACUAGCAAGUAACAUUAUUUAUAAUGGAAUAGAUUUUUUAUUAUUAUGAAUAUAUCCUGGGUGCAGAAUAUUUUCUUAUGUACUCAUAAUUAUUGGAAAGUUGGUCUCUGAAAACAAAGAGAAAUUGAAUGAAACUGGUGAAAAAUGCUAGGACUCAUUCACUAGUUUAAAUUCAGAAGACUGCAUUUUUUUUCAGCAUUAAAAAAUUAUGUUAACAGAGACAAAGACAAAAUUUUAGGUGCCCUUGAGGAAAAUCAUGUACUCAUAAUUUUUUUUCACUUGUUUUUAUAAAUCCUUAUUAUUAUUAUUUUCUGGUUUUUGGAAAGAGUAAAAAAAUUACCAAUGCUUCUCUAUAGAUAAACAUAGGACAAAAAGCUGAAUGAUUUUAAAAAAAUGUUCACUCCAUCAUGCAAUUAUUCCCCCAAACCAGAACGGAUAGCCACUGGUAAAUCAAUGAAUUACAUCCCUUUUGGAUUUAUGGAUCCUCUUGAAUAUCAGAUAGAAGUUGGAGUUUUUGCUCCCCAAAUGGACAUCCAUAAGAAAUUUUAUGCUUCAUUUUGAGGGUGUUUCCUUCUUUCCUGGCUAGCUCAUCCAUGAUUUCCAGUGGGUUAAUAACUUCUCCUGUAGUGAAAACUCUGGAAGGCCAUUCAAGAAAUGCUGGCUACAUAAUUUGCAUGGUCCAGUGCAAAAUGAGAGGCCUUUUAUUUAAAAAUCAUUAAGCAUUUAAAAAUGGUAAUAGCAGAGCGUUAGACCAAACGUGAGACCCUUCUAAGCAUGGGGCCCUGAGUGACUAUACAAGCUGUAUGUCCAAGAAGCCAGCCUGACUUUCAAGGGUAAGGAAUGGUUAGGAUUUCAAGCUCUGGUGCUUGACUUCCUGAGCUCAAAUCAUAGCUCUCCUUGGGUUUUCUUUUCUUUUUCUUUUAUUGUUAUUUCCCCAACAUAAUUUUUUUUUCCCCACUGUACAGCAUGGGGACACAGUUACACAUACAUGUAUACAUACUUUUUUCUCCCGUUAUCAUGCUCCGUCGUAAGUACCCAGACAUAGUUCUCAGUGCUACACAGCAGGAUCUCAUUGUUAAUCCAUUCCAAAAGCAACAGUUUUCAUUCGUUAACCCUAAGCUCCUGAUCCCUCCCACUCCCUCCCCCUCCUCCUGGGCAACCACAAGUCUGUUCUCCAAGUCCAUGACUUUAUUUUCUAUGGAAAGGUUCGUUUGUGCUGUAUAUUAGGUACCAGAUAUAAGUGAUAUCCUUGGGUUUUCUUAUGUAAGCAUUGGCUAUUAUUCUUUUUAAAAAAUGUUGCUGA